GUGGAUUAGAUACCCUGGUAGUCUACGCUGUAAACGAUGGAUACUAGCAGUCUCGGGUAUCGACCCCUGGAGUUGCGAAGCUAACGCGUUAAGUAUCCCACCUGUGUAGUACGAUCGCAAGAUUAAAACAUAAAGGAAUUGACGGGGACCCGCACAAGCGGUGGAGCGUGAUCUUUAAUUCGAUGGUAAACGAUAAACCUUACCAAGGCUUGACAUCUCGGGAAGGCUUCCGAAAGGAAACUGUGCCCUUGGGAACCCGAAGACAGGUGAUGCAUGGCCGUCGUCAACU
This 289-nucleotide ribosomal RNA is filed under the name uncultured bacterium. RNAcentral's name for it is "partial 16S ribosomal RNA". It matches the Rfam family "Bacterial small subunit ribosomal RNA", at positions 773 to 1060 of the family's 1533-position model. The record is from RNAcentral.